GAUGAACGCUGGCGGCGUGCCUAAUACAUGCAAGUCGAGCGAACGGACGAGAAGCUUGCUUCUCUGAUGUUAGCGGCGGACGGGUGAGUAACACGUGGAUAACCUACCUAUAAGACUGGGAUAACUUCGGGAAACCGGAGCUAAUACCGGAUAAUAUUUUGAACCGCAUGGUUCAAAAGUGAAAGACGGUCUUGCUGUCACUUAUAGAUGGAUCCGCGCUGCAUUAGCUAGUUGGUAAGGUAACGGCUUACCAAGGCAACGAUGCAUAGCCGACCUGAGAGGGUGAUCGGCCACACUGGAACUGAGACACGGUCCAGACUCCUACGGGAGGCAGCAGUAGGGAAUCUUCCGCAAUGGGCGAAAGCCUGACGGAGCAACGCCGCGUGAGUGAUGAAGGUCUUCGGAUCGUAAAACUCUGUUAUUAGGGAAGAACAUAUGUGUAAGUAACUGUGCACAUCUUGACGGUACCUAAUCAGAAAGCCACGGCUAACUACGUGCCAGCAGCCGCGGUAAUACGUAGGUGGCAAGCGUUAUCCGGAAUUAUUGGGCGUAAAGCGCGCGUAGGCGGUUUUUUAAGUCUGAUGUGAAAGCCCACGGCUCAACCGUGGAGGGUCAUUGGAAACUGGAAAACUUGAGUGCAGAAGAGGAAAGUGGAAUUCCAUGUGUAGCGGUGAAAUGCGCAGAGAUAUGGAGGAACACCAGUGGCGAAGGCGACUUUCUGGUCUGUAACUGACGCUGAUGUGCGAAAGCGUGGGGAUCAAACAGGAUUAGAUACCCUGGUAGUCCACGCCGUAAACGAUGAGUGCUAAGUGUUAGGGGGUUUCCGCCCCUUAGUGCUGCAGCUAACGCAUUAAGCACUCCGCCUGGGGAGUACGACCGCAAGGUUGAAACUCAAAGGAAUUGACGGGGACCCGCACAAGCGGUGGAGCAUGUGGUUUAAUUCGAAGCAACGCGAAGAACCUUACCAAAUCUUGACAUCCUUUGACAACUCUAGAGAUAGAGCUUUCCCCUUCGGGGGACAAAGUGACAGGUGGCGCAUGGUUGUCGUCAGCUCGUGUCGUGAGAUGUUGGGUUAAGUCCCGCAACGAGCGCAACCCUUAAGCUUAGUUGCCAUCAUUAAGUUGGGCACUCUAAGUUGACUGCCGGUGGCAAACCGGAGGAAGGUGGGGAUGACGUCAAAUCAUCAUGCCCCUUAUGAUUUGGGCUACACACGUGCUACAAUGGACAAUACAAAGGGCAGCGAAACCGUGAGGUCAAGCAAAUCCCAUAAAGUUGUUCUCAGUUCGGAUUGUAGUCUGCAACUCGACUACAUGAAGCUGGAAUCGCUAGUAAUCGUAGAUCAGCAUGCUACGGUGAAUACGUUCCCGGGUCU
This 1372-nucleotide ribosomal RNA is filed under the name uncultured bacterium. RNAcentral describes it as "bacterial SSU rRNA". It matches the Rfam family "Bacterial small subunit ribosomal RNA", at positions 28 to 1381 of the family's 1533-position model. The record is from RNAcentral.